GAGUUUGAUCUUGGCUCAGAUUGAACGCUGGCGGCAUGCCUUACACAUGCAAGUCGAACGGCAGCACGGGAGCUUGCUCCUGGUGGCGAGUGGCGAACGGGUGAGUAAUGCAUCGGAACGUAUCCUGGAGUGGGGGGAUAACGUAGCGAAAGUUACGCUAAUACCGCAUAUUCUGUGAGCAGGAAAGCGGGGGACCUUCGGGCCUCGCGCUCUUGGAGCGGCCGAUGUCGGAUUAGCUAGUUGGUGAGGUAAAGGCUCACCAAGGCGACGAUCCGUAGCAGGUCUGAGAGGAUGAUCUGCCACACUGGAACUGAGACACGGUCCAGACUCCUACGGGAGGCAGCAGUGGGAAUUUGGACAAUGGGGCAACCCUGAUCCAGCCAUGCCGCGUGAGU
Molecule: ribosomal RNA, 395 nt
Filed under: bacterium enrichment culture clone ALO1_GLFRUDD03HKQBH
Lineage: Bacteria
Description: bacterial SSU rRNA
Rfam family: Bacterial small subunit ribosomal RNA
Source: RNAcentral